GUGCUUGCCUCGGCAGCAUAUAUACUAAUAUUGAAACUAUACUGAAAACAUUAGCAUGGCCCUUGUGCAAGGAUGACCUGCAAAUUUUGAGAAGGGAUAGCAUAAUGAU
Molecule: small nuclear RNA, 109 nt
Organism: Suncus etruscus (white-toothed pygmy shrew)
Lineage: Eukaryota; Metazoa; Chordata; Mammalia; Eulipotyphla; Soricidae
Source: RefSeq, a predicted model, not a curated record